Molecule: ribosomal RNA, 253 nt
Filed under: uncultured bacterium
Lineage: Bacteria
Description: partial 16S ribosomal RNA
Rfam family: Bacterial small subunit ribosomal RNA
Source: RNAcentral
UACGAAGGGGGCUAGCGUUGCUCGGAAUUACUGGGCGUAAAGGGUGCGUAGGUGGUCCGUUAAGUUCGUUGUGAAAGCCCUGGGCUCAACCCAGGAACUGCUUCGAAUACUGGCGGACUUGAGGCUAGUAUGGGUCACUGGAACUGACGGUGGAGCGGUGAAAUGCGUAGAUAUCGUCAGGAACGCCAAUGGUGAAGACAGGUGACUGGGCUAGAUCUGACACUGAGGCACGAAAGCGUGGGGAGCGAACGGG